GGGGCUGUAGCUCAGUGGUAGAGCGCUUGCCUAGCAUGUAUGAGGCACUGGGUUCGAUCCUCAGCACCACA
RNAcentral lists this transfer RNA (71 nucleotides) under Marmota monax (woodchuck). Its description in RNAcentral is "tRNA.Ala". It matches the Rfam family "tRNA". Rfam says of the family: Transfer RNA (tRNA) molecules are approximately 80 nucleotides in length. Their secondary structure includes four short double-helical elements and three loops (D, anti-codon, and T loops). Further hydrogen bonds mediate the characteristic L-shaped molecular structure. tRNAs have two regions of fundamental functional importance: the anti-codon, which is responsible for specific mRNA codon recognition, and the 3' end, to which the tRNAs corresponding amino acid is attached (by aminoacyl-tRNA synthetases). tRNAs cope with the degeneracy of the genetic code in two manners: having more than one tRNA (with a specific anti-codon) for a particular amino acid; and 'wobble' base-pairing, i.e. permitting non-standard base-pairing at the 3rd anti-codon position. The record is from RNAcentral. Lineage: Eukaryota; Metazoa; Chordata; Mammalia; Rodentia; Sciuridae.